UAUGUGAUCGUCUCUCGCAUAUCAAUAAGCGGAGGAAAAGAAACUAACAAGGAUUCCCCUAGUAACGGCGAGUGAAGCGGGAAGAGCUCAAAUUUGAAAUCUUAAAGGGUUUCCCUUUACGAAUUGUAGUUUAAAGAAGUGUUUUCUGUUGAGGUUUUGGUAAAAGUUCUUUGGAAUAGGACAUCAUAGAGGGUGAGAAUCCCGUAUUUGACCUUUACUUUCAACUUUGUGAUACACUUUCAAAGAGUCGGAUUGUUUGGGAAUGCAGUCCAAAAUGGGUGGUAAAUUUCAUCUAAAGCUAAAUAUUGGCGAGAGACCGAUAGCGAACAAGUACCGUGAGGGAAAGAUGAAAAGAACUUUGAAAAGAGAGUUAAACAGUACGUGAAAUUGUCAAAAGGGAAGCGUUUGACACCAGUGUUGUUUUUCUGAAAAUCAAUUAAGGAACUGUUUAUGCUAAGUUGUUUAGACUUUAUCAGCUAACUGUUUAGUUUUGAGCUUUUCUUUAAUGCACUUUUCAGUUAACAAGUCAACAUCAAUUUCUUUUGCUGCUAAAAAAGCUUGAGGAAGGUGGCUUGAGAUUCGUCUUAAGUGUUUAUAGCCUCUUGCCUAUGCAGUCGGAGAGAUUGAGGUCUGCAGCGUAGAUCCUUCGGGGCUAAAUGCAUUUGUGCUAAGUUAUAGCAUUUUAUAGACAACUUGUUGACUAUGAUUUGUCUUGUAGCUUACUCGCUUAUGUUAUUUUACCUACGCUUAGGAUGUUGAGUCGUAGAGCACGCAG
RNAcentral lists this ribosomal RNA (775 nucleotides) under uncultured Neocallimastigales. RNAcentral's name for it is "partial large subunit ribosomal RNA". It matches the Rfam family "Eukaryotic large subunit ribosomal RNA", at positions 24 to 628 of the family's 3401-position model. The record is from RNAcentral. Lineage: Eukaryota; Fungi; Neocallimastigomycota; Neocallimastigomycetes; Neocallimastigales.